GCCUCCUUGGCUUAGUGGUACAGCGUCGCACUCGUAAUGCGAAGAUCCCUCGUUCGAUUCGGGGAGGAGGCA
RNAcentral lists this transfer RNA (72 nucleotides) under Acidomyces richmondensis BFW. It matches the Rfam family "tRNA". Rfam says of the family: Transfer RNA (tRNA) molecules are approximately 80 nucleotides in length. Their secondary structure includes four short double-helical elements and three loops (D, anti-codon, and T loops). The record is from Rfam by way of RNAcentral. Lineage: Eukaryota; Fungi; Ascomycota; Dothideomycetes; Mycosphaerellales; Teratosphaeriaceae.